GUAGUCAUAUGCUUGUCUCAAAGAUUAAGCCAUGCAUGUCUAAGUAUAAGCAAAUUUAUACCGUGAAACUGCGAAUGGCUCAUUAAAUCAGUUAUCGUUUAUUUGAUAGUACCUUACUACUUGGAUAACCGUGGUAAUUCUAGAGCUAAUACAUGCUAAAAGCCCCGACUUCGGAAGGGGUGUAUUUAUUAGAUUAAAAACCAAUGCCCUUCGGGGCUCUUUGGUGAUUCAUAAUAACUUAACGAAUCGCAUGGCCUUGCGCCGGCGAUGGUUCAUUCAAAUUUCUGCCCUAUCAACUUUCGAUGGUAGGAUAGUGGCCUACCAUGGUAUCAACGGGUAACGGGGAAU
RNAcentral lists this ribosomal RNA (348 nucleotides) under Oidium heveae. RNAcentral describes it as "SSU rRNA". It matches the Rfam family "Eukaryotic small subunit ribosomal RNA", at positions 20 to 370 of the family's 1831-position model. Lineage: Eukaryota; Fungi; Ascomycota; Leotiomycetes; Helotiales; Erysiphaceae. The record is from RNAcentral.